This 503-nucleotide ribosomal RNA is filed under the name uncultured bacterium. RNAcentral describes it as "partial 16S ribosomal RNA". It matches the Rfam family "Bacterial small subunit ribosomal RNA", at positions 30 to 523 of the family's 1533-position model. The record is from RNAcentral.
AUUGAACGCUGGCGGCAGGCUUAACACAUGCAAGUCGAGCGGAGUGAUGGUGCUUGCACUAUCACUUAGCGGCGGACGGGUGAGUAAUGCUUAGGAAUCUGCCUAUUGGUGGGGGACAACAUCUCGAAAGGGAUGCUAGUACCGCAUACGUCCUACGGGAGAAAGCAGGGGAUCACUUGUGACCUUGCGCUAAUAGAUGAGCCUAAGUCGGAUUAGCUAGUUGGUGGGGUAAAGGCCUACCAAGGCGACGAUCUGUAGCGGGUCUGAGAGGAUGAUCCGCCACACUGGGACUGAGACACGGCCCAGACUCCUACGGGAGGCAGCAGUGGGGAAUAUUGGACAAUGAGGGGAACCCUGAUCCAGCCAUGCCGCGUGUGUGAAGAAGGCCUUAUGGUUGUAAAGCACUUUAAGCGAGGAGGAGGCUCUUUUGGUUAAUACCCAAGAUGAGUGGACGUUACUCGCAGAAUAAGCACCGGCUAACUCUGUGCCAGCCGCCGCGGUAA